Sphaeramia orbicularis (orbiculate cardinalfish) is the source of this 238-nucleotide long non-coding RNA. RefSeq lists it as uncharacterized. The transcript is spliced from 3 exons. The record is from RefSeq and is a predicted model, not a curated record. NCBI's taxonomy places the organism in Eukaryota, Metazoa, Chordata, Actinopteri, Kurtiformes, Apogonidae.
AGAAGUGUCACGGGAUGACGUACAAGGCCGUAUACGACACAAAUCACGUUGUUCUCAGGUCUGCGGACUCCAGCUGAUGGACUCGUUAGUCCUCCUGGAAACGGGAAGAUGAUACUGGUGAGUCUGAUUGUCAUGGCGACCUGAUGACGAUGGGUUGUCUUCAUGAGGACAGUACUAAGGUGCAUCUACACUGAACCACAUCCAUGGUCGAAGUCACUGAGGAUUCAUCUGAGCUCAA